RNAcentral lists this transfer RNA (78 nucleotides) under Nitrososphaerota archaeon. RNAcentral's name for it is "Thaumarchaeota archaeon tRNA-Arg". It matches the Rfam family "tRNA". From Rfam's summary of the family: Transfer RNA (tRNA) molecules are approximately 80 nucleotides in length. Lineage: Archaea; Thermoproteati; Nitrososphaerota. RNAcentral also lists the same sequence under 3 other names. The record is from RNAcentral.
GGACCCGUUGCAUAGCAUGGAUAGUGCGGACGCUUCCGGAGCGUCAGGUCGCCGGUUCGAGUCCGGUCGGGUCCGCCA